This 253-nucleotide ribosomal RNA is filed under the name uncultured bacterium. RNAcentral's name for it is "partial 16S ribosomal RNA". It matches the Rfam family "Bacterial small subunit ribosomal RNA", at positions 524 to 776 of the family's 1533-position model. The record is from RNAcentral.
GACGAAGGAUGCAAGCGUUAUCCGGAUUCACUGGGUUUAAAGGGAGCGCAGGCGGAUUGGUAAGUCAGUGGUGAAAGGCUUAAGCUUAACUUGGGAACUGCCAUUGAUACUAUCAGUCUUGAAUGUUGUUGAGGUUUGCGGAAUGGGUCAUGUAGCGGUGAAAUGCAUAGAUAUGACCCGGAACACCUAUUGCGAAGGCAGCAGGCUAAACAAAUAUUGACGCUGAGGCUCGAAAGCGUGGGGAUCAAACAGG